Molecule: long non-coding RNA, 971 nt
Organism: Salvia splendens (bonfire salvia)
Lineage: Eukaryota; Viridiplantae; Streptophyta; Magnoliopsida; Lamiales; Lamiaceae
Exons: 2
Source: RefSeq, a predicted model, not a curated record
GAAACGUAGAUCGACGCUAUUGCCUUUAAAUUGACAAAAUUAAAUGUCUUACACCAUUUAGUAUUAGUCAAAAAUCAUUUGACCAAGCACGAUUCCAACAUAAUACAGCUACAAACUGUCCAAAUUUUGGUACACUGGCAUAUUUUGGUAUGUGUUAUCUGAAAUAUUCCGGGAACUUAAGGUCGAUGAAAACUUGAUUGCAUAAUUUCUAAAUUUACUAUAAGGUGUUUAGUUAUUCUUUGAAUUUUGUGAUUAAUUAAAGAGUUUAAAUACUAUUUAUAAAAUUGUGUAGAAACUAUUGCCAGAAACUGUUUGAUUUUGUUAGUCUCUUGUAAAAGGAUAAUAUCUCUCAAACCAUUAGGAAUUUUUGAGUGAAUCUUGUUUCAUUGUAAAAUAGACUUCAUGGGGUAUUUAUUUUUAGCCUCUAAAUCCUUUUGAAUGGAUGUAGAACAUUAAUGUGAAAUCAGUCCAGUGCAAUUGUUAUAUAAGAAGUUAAUUGAUGAAUCAAUGAAUUACUAUACAUCUGGGAUAUUAAAUAAGGUUAAAGGAAGGAGCUUAGCUCAUAGUAGUAUUCUCUUUCUAUAAAUUAAUGUGGAUUGCAUGUGAUUAGUAAGUAAAGCGAGAGGUUUCUCGGCGAUAGCCGAAAUGGAAUAGAAAGGGACCGGAGUGACUGGAACAUUAAGAUGGAAAAAGGGCUUAUGCUCAUAAGCCUAUCAGGUUAGUCGGCAUUGGGGAGUAUCGGUCGAUGUUUAUUCAAGUCUGCGUCAGUGCUGCAUCCUCGUCGGGUCACUGAACGUUAUCUGUGGUAUAGAGUGGUGGCAUGUUUAGAAAUCAGAUUAUGAUAUUCUAAAAUCAGUUGCGUUUAGUUUAAUGUUGAUAAAUUAAUUUUCGAGGAAAUAUAAACUUAUAUGCUUUUCUAUGUAAGUAAUGGUCUCAAUUUGUUACGAUAAUGAAAUUUUAAAUUGCCAUAA